This is a long non-coding RNA of Zea mays, 445 nucleotides long. RefSeq lists it as uncharacterized. The transcript is spliced from 3 exons. The record is from RefSeq and is a predicted model, not a curated record. Lineage: Eukaryota; Viridiplantae; Streptophyta; Magnoliopsida; Poales; Poaceae.
UUAAUCAUGGAGCAAUGGUGGUAUCUAUUCUAUAGUUUAUUUUGGAAUGGAUUUCUAAGUAGUCUACUAAUGAUUUGGGUUUUAAUUUUGUCAGGAGGGAGGUCCUAGAGGCAGUAAGUCACUUGUUUACUCCAUGAUGACAAUAGCAAGCAGAUCGCGGUGGUGCCUAUGGAUGCUACAACAAGAAAGAUAAAAAGUUCUUUUGGAUGGAUGCAGCUACAUAUUUUGUUUUGUAUUUUCUCCAAAAGAGAAAUUUGCAAGUGAACUUAAAAUUGUGAAACCAACAUGUGGUUGUACUAGCUAGUAUCUCUGAGCUUUCACAAGCCAAACUUAGUGUUGUUGCUGCUUAUUUUGAUCUUUAUUACAACAAAAGCAAACUUGUGAACUUUAUGUAUGAAUGCAGUACAAUUGUUAUUGUCAUGAAUGAAAACAUGAGCUAUGUCAA